UGCACACCCUGGGGACUCGGUGCAGGAAGCUGGCCAGGGUGUGGAAGGUGGAUCAAGAUUUAGAGGAGGCAACUUUUCUGCCCUGCUCAGAGAAGUGGUUGGAAAACCCAGAGUAAACUGUAAGAAACCAACAUCAUAAAUGCAAGAAAGAUUACAAGUUGAUGAUUUUGAAAACAAAGAAGACUUGCUCACAUAAAUAGGCAUUUUCCCUCAGUCGUCAUGUGGCUGGAGGAGGGGAAGCCAAAGAGCUGCCAUUCUCCCAAAUGAUGCAUCUUGAGAAUGUGUCUCUGAACAUGGAGCAAGUGAGGCUGCUGCUCUGAAUUUCCAAGAAGAGGCAAGUGUAUCAUCCAGAGCGAUCUGGUGAAUGCAAGAGUCCAGUCAGCAACAAAAACAAACCUGUAAAACUGUAGAGCCCUGCGCAGGGGCACACAUCUGUAAUCCCAGUGGCUCAGGAGGCAGAGGCAAGAGGAUUGCAAGUUCAAAGUCAGCCUCAGCAAAAGCAAGGUGCUAAGCUACUCAGUGAGACCCUGACUCUAAAUAAAAUACAAAAUAAAGCCGGGGAUGUGACACA
Molecule: long non-coding RNA, 571 nt
Organism: Marmota monax (woodchuck)
Lineage: Eukaryota; Metazoa; Chordata; Mammalia; Rodentia; Sciuridae
Exons: 2
Source: RefSeq, a predicted model, not a curated record